Molecule: long non-coding RNA, 2426 nt
Organism: Lynx canadensis (Canada lynx)
Lineage: Eukaryota; Metazoa; Chordata; Mammalia; Carnivora; Felidae
Source: Ensembl
AGAAGGGACUCUUCCCUCAUGGGCCUCUGUCCUGCAGACUAUGGCAUGUAUCGUAUGUGGGUGGAUGCAUUUAGCCAUUGCAGGAGGUGUGGUCUUUUCCGCUGGGCUGUUUGGCUUCCCACGGUUAGGCUCUUGGUAAAUUUUGGAAACAAAUGGCUGUAUAUAUCGUACAUUAAUCCUUGGGAAGAGGGCUUUACCAUGUUGUAAAUGUAGCCUCUAGAUCCGUACAGCAGUUCGAUUCUAAUGAUUUAGAUGAGUCUGAAAGACGCGUACACUUGGCGUGUAAUCACACUAUUCUUUCAGAGCUUGAGAUUUUCCUUUGCAGCUGUUUACCUCAAGUUUGUCUUCCGUUUUCUCUCCUUUUCCUCUUUCUCAACUGCUCUAGCCUCUAUGAAACGAGCCCCGCUCCCAGUACGAGUUUCUGGAGCUCGGUGCCGGUGCCGAGGCCCGUCCGUUGCCUCGUCCCCUUGCCGUGCAGCCAGCCAGCCGGCUGCGCCUUCCGUUACCCUCAGUCCCCACGGGGCGGCUUCGGGGGCCGCCGCGGGGAGCCAGCCCUCCUCUCCCCGUAUCGCCCCUACACGGUCGCCCACCCGUGGGGGCCUUCCGCUUCUGCCCCGCGGUCCCCAGGCAUCUCCACUCUGUCCAGCUCGCCCGGCCGCCCUGCCCUCGCUAGUAGCCCUCAAGCAGUGCCUGCCAGCUCUCCCAGCCAGAGACCCCUCCAGCCUGGGCCCACCUUUACUGGCCGCCUCGCCCAGUGCCGCGAGCAGACGCCCCUCAUCCCUAAGGACCUCUCCUAGCAUGCACGACAAUCCUUUUCUCCUUCCUCUUCCUCGCGCUUUCUGGCGACAGUAGUGAUGACGAUUGAAGAAGAUGAUGAUGAUGGUGAUGAUGGUGAUGAUGAAGGUGGUGGUGGUGGUGAUGAGUUUUCUUGUGUCCAGUUUGGGUCCAGGUAUCAGAGGAAUGGAGUCUCACCCCUGCAUGUGCCUAUGUGCUUAGGAACUAACUUUUGUGAGCCCUCAUUAGGGGUGUUGCUUUGAGUCUAGACAGGAUAGGGUCAGAUGAGACAGUCGGGAAGAGUUAAGACUGGGAAAACCUGCAUGUACCGAGGUGGUAGGGACCUUAUCACGGGGUAAAGUGGCACAUUAGGAACACCCUCAUUGUUGUUGCCCGGUAAUUUAGAGGAAAACUUACGUGUAAUCAUUGGUCGAAAUACAAGCAGCAGAUUAAAGAUCGGUUGUCGAGUUCACCCACCCUGAGAUCAGAAACGAGGGGCCCUUCGUUUACCAUAUCGCGAGUGUUCUUGUGAGCUGCCGGAUAUGAGCAACAUGUAUUCCGUGAGGCAUGUUUCUUACCAUACAGUUUGCAUGGAUUGCUGCUACUUACGAAUGGCAGAGGGGCCGGGAUGGCGUGUGUGUGUGUGUGUGUGCGUGUCUGUUUCCCCCCCCCUUUUCCCGCCCCCACUCUGUCUGACGGUCAGUCUGUCGAAGAGCAUGUUGGGCCACAUUGUCUGUUAUAAACCGUGAAUUUGGUUCACUUUUAGCCUUCAACUUCACCAGUCACCACCUUGGCCUCAGCGAAGCUAGACCCUUGUUUAGACAGCCUUUGGAAUGGCAGCAGAGGCUAAAACACAGUUCACGAUGCUGCUGACUGUUCGUUCCCCCCUGAAAACCUGAAACCCCCCCCCUGAAAACCCUGAAAACACUGUUUGGGGUUCUAGGUGACUUUGGGCAAGAAAAUAUAAUAGCACCUUCUUUCUGAACCUCUGACUCAUUGUCUUACAAUUUUGCUCUGAAAUCGAAGUUUCCACUGGACUGACUUGGUAUUUGUGCCCAGCACUGUUCAAAAUAACUCCAGGCUAUAAAUAGAGGACAGCAGUAGGAGUUAGGUACACUUCAUUAAAUUUGACAGUGUUCAGAAGAAUCAUUAGAGAGGAGUAUAUAAAGAGAGAAAGAGUGUGGGUGCAAGGUUGAAUAUUGAUUCAGGAGGGUUGAUAUUUGUAUUAGGUUGAACAUUAUAUUACUGUUUUCUCAAGUAAAUUUCCCAAAGGUAGAAGUGUCUUUUUCAUGUAGAUAAAAUCCUACUUCCCGAUUACAGUAAUGCGGCAGGCAUCCUUUUUUUUUUUCUUUAAUGUUUAUUCAUCCAUUUUUGAGAGAGAGAGAGAGAGACAGAGAGCACGAGCGGGGGAGGGACAGAGAGAGAGAGAGAGGAAGGCACCGAAUCCGAAACAGGCUCCAGGCUCUGAGCUGUUAGCACAGAGCCUGACACGGGGCUCGAACUCACAAACCGUAAGAUCAUGCCCUGAGCAAAGUUGGAUGUUUAACCAUCUGAGCCCCCGAGCCCCCGAGCAGGCAUCCUUUUUAGGAGUCAGUUUCCAUACAUGAUAAAAGUGCUUUGUUACCUGUCUUACUGUAAAUUGUAGGAGAAAU